Molecule: non-coding RNA, 44 nt
Organism: Necator americanus (New World hookworm)
Lineage: Eukaryota; Metazoa; Nematoda; Chromadorea; Rhabditida; Ancylostomatidae
Source: Rfam
CCAACGGCCCUCUUUAGGGCCACAUACCGUUCCUUGAGUUCUUG